GUGCUCACUUUGGCAGCACAUAUAAUAAAAUCAGAAAGACGCAGAGAAGAUUAGCAUGCCCCCUGCACAAGGAUGACAUGCAAAUUCAUGAAGUAUUCCAUAUUUUU
Small nuclear RNA from Cercocebus atys (sooty mangabey), 107 nucleotides. Lineage: Eukaryota; Metazoa; Chordata; Mammalia; Primates; Cercopithecidae. The record is from Ensembl.